GUUGGUGUACUGCAUAGUUUUAGCCAUUGGAUUUCAGUCAAAAGACACCAAAUGACUCCUCCCACCGUAUUAUGAUGAUCCCUAAGUUUUGGACUCAAUCCGAUAUCCAUUGGUACAUGAAACUAGGCAAUUCAGGUUAGUACGAAGUUCGUUAUGAAAUGGAGUGGUUGCUGUAUUGCAUCGUUGUAGAGAUUGGAUUUCACUCAAAACCCACGAAAUGACUCCUCCC
Molecule: long non-coding RNA, 229 nt
Filed under: Prunus persica (peach)
Lineage: Eukaryota; Viridiplantae; Streptophyta; Magnoliopsida; Rosales; Rosaceae
Description: long non-coding RNA (PPER_LNC003427)
Source: RNAcentral